Long non-coding RNA from Homarus americanus (American lobster), 247 nucleotides. RefSeq lists it as uncharacterized. The transcript is spliced from 3 exons. Lineage: Eukaryota; Metazoa; Arthropoda; Malacostraca; Decapoda; Nephropidae. The record is from RefSeq and is a predicted model, not a curated record.
UCCGUGGCGGACUUCGUUAGCAGUUCAGGCUCCGAGAAGAUCCCGUAUGUGUACAUGCCCAUGAAGCAUCAGCUGGUCCACCCCACAGCUGAGGUCGCCCUUCUAGGUCUGGAACACGGCGGGUCUCCUGUGUUGUCCCCCGUGUGUGUGAUCACCAAGGGCACCAUCCUCACUCAUGAUGGCUGGCAGAAUAUGGCCAACACCUCCACCUUUGAGCCUCCCUUCAGACUGUUUCGGGACAGUGGGA